GAGCGGUAGAGAGAAGCUUGCUUCUCUUGAGAGCGGCGGACGGGUGAGUAAUGCCUAGGAAUCUGCCUGGUAGUGGGGGAUAACGUUCGGAAACGGACGCUAAUACCGCAUACGUCCUACGGGAGAAAGCAGGGGACCUUCGGGCCUUGCGCUAUCAGAUGAGCCUAGGUCGGAUUAGCUAGUUGGUGAGGUAAUGGCUCACCAAGGCGACGAUCCGUAACUGGUCUGAGAGGAUGAUCAGUCACACUGGAACUGAGACACGGUCCAGACUCCUACGGGAGGCAGCAGUGGGGAAUAUUGGACAAUGGGCGAAAGCCUGAUCCAGCCAUGCCGCGUGUGUGAAGAAGGUCUUCGGAUUGUAAAGCACUUUAAGUUGGGAGGAAGGGUUGUAGAUUAAUACUCUGCAAUUUUGACGUUACCGACAGAAUAAGCACCGGCUAACUCUGUGCCAGCAGCCGCGGUAAUACAGAGGGUGCAAGCGUUAAUCGGAAUUACUGGGCGUAAAGCGCGCGUAGGUGGUUCGUUAAGUUGGAUGUGAAAGCCCCGGGCUCAACCUGGGAACUGCAUUCAAAACUGACGAGCUAGAGUAUGGUAGAGGGUGGUGGAAUUUCCUGUGUAGCGGUGAAAUGCGUAGAUAUAGGAAGGAACACCAGUGGCGAAGGCGACCACCUGGACUGAUACUGACACUGAGGUGCGAAAGCGUGGGGAGCAAACAGGAUUAGAUACCCUGGUAGUCCACGCCGUAAACGAUGUCAACUAGCCGUUGGAAUCCUUGAGAUUUUAGUGGCGCAGCUAACGCAUUAAGUUGACCGCCUGGGGAGUACGGCCGCAAGGUUAAAACUCAAAUGAAUUGACGGGGGCCCGCACAAGCGGUGGAGCAUGUGGUUUAAUUCGAAGCAACGCGAAGAACCUUACCAGGCCUUGACAUCCAAUGAACUUUCCAGAGAUGGACUGGUGCCUUCGGGAACAUUGAGACAGGUGCUGCAUGGCUGUCGUCAGCUCGUGUCGUGAGAKGUU
Molecule: ribosomal RNA, 1017 nt
Filed under: uncultured bacterium
Lineage: Bacteria
Description: bacterial SSU rRNA
Rfam family: Bacterial small subunit ribosomal RNA
Source: RNAcentral